CAGCCGCCGCGGUAAAACGAAGGGGGCUAGCGUUGUUCGGAUUUACUGGGCGUAAAGCGCACGUAGGCGGGCUUUUAAGUCAGGGGUGAAAUCCCAGAGCUCAACUCUGGAACUGCCUUUGAUACUGGAAGUCUUGAGUAUGGAAGAGGUGAGUGGAAUUCCGAGUGUAGUGGUGAAAUUCGUAGAUAUUCGGAGGAACACCAGUGGCGAAGGCGGCUCACUGGUCCAUUACUGACGCUGAGGUGCGAAAGCGUGGGGAGCGAACAGGAUUAGAUACCCCAGUAGUCCCUGUCUCUUAUAC
RNAcentral lists this ribosomal RNA (301 nucleotides) under uncultured bacterium. RNAcentral describes it as "partial 16S ribosomal RNA". It matches the Rfam family "Bacterial small subunit ribosomal RNA", at positions 509 to 807 of the family's 1533-position model. The record is from RNAcentral.